This 109-nucleotide ribosomal RNA is filed under the name uncultured eukaryote. Its description in RNAcentral is "partial small subunit ribosomal RNA". It matches the Rfam family "Eukaryotic small subunit ribosomal RNA", at positions 1675 to 1785 of the family's 1831-position model. The record is from RNAcentral.
GUCGCACCUACCGAUUGGAUGGUCCGGUGAAGCCUCGGGAUUGUAACUGGUGCCUUCAUUGGUGCUGGUUAUAAGAACUUGUCUAAACCUUACCAUUUAGAGGAAGGUG